Long non-coding RNA from Monodelphis domestica (gray short-tailed opossum), 640 nucleotides. RefSeq lists it as uncharacterized. The record is from RefSeq and is a predicted model, not a curated record. Lineage: Eukaryota; Metazoa; Chordata; Mammalia; Didelphimorphia; Didelphidae.
AAGCAGCAGCGGCGGCGGCGGCAGCAGCAGCAGUUCUAGGGAAGCAGUAGAAAAGAACAUGCCUUCUUUCAUCUUUUAGAAGCCCCUCAAAGCCCCCAAAUACACCACUCUAAGAGGCAGCCCGGGAGUCCGAGUUUCAAGAAAUCCAUGACACCCUGUAGAUUGUCAACAACCCAUCCAGCUCCCAAGUCCCCAGUUCAUCUGGAACGACCUCCAGGAAUUGAUGCAGAGUGAAAGGAGCAGAACCAGGAGAACAUUGUACACAGAGACCGAUACAUUAUGGCACAACCUAACAUAAUGGACUUCUCUACUAGCAGCAAGGCAAUGAUCCAGGACAAUCCUGAGGGACUUUUGAGAAAGAUGCUCUCCACAUCCAGAGAAAGAACUGUGGGAGCGGAAACACAGAAGAAAAACAACUGCUUGAUCACAUGGUUCAUUGAGGAUAUAAUUGGGGAUGUAGCCUCUAAAUGAUCACCAUAGUGCAAAUAUCAAUAAUAGGGGACUAGGUGAUCAAUGAUACCUGUAAAACCUAGUGGAAUUGAGCAUCGGUUAAAGGGGGGGGAGGUGAGGGGAUAGGAGGGAAAGAACAUGAUUCUUGUAACCAUGGAAACAUAUUCUAAAUUAACUAAUUAAAUAAAAU